UAAAAAUUAGUUAAAUUAUAUAACAUUAAAUUGUCAAUUUAAAAUUAUUUAAAAAAAUAUUUUUAA
RNAcentral lists this transfer RNA (66 nucleotides) under Gnamptodon pumilio. RNAcentral describes it as "tRNA-Asp". The record is from RNAcentral. Lineage: Eukaryota; Metazoa; Arthropoda; Insecta; Hymenoptera; Braconidae.